GGGUGAACAGGGUGUUUAUGAAUACACUGAGCUCAAGACAGUCGCAAUGAAAAUAUCUCAGAAGAACUCCUAAAGAAGCCAGCAGAGUGACGAGAAACUCUCAGCAGUGGCUACAUGUCUCCUACAAUCACCAGCAGAGGGUUGUUUUAUUACAGGGUCUUCUGUUGAUUUCUUAAACAUAAGGAAUCCAUCAGCAUUACUGUAACUCAUAGAAAACAUAUAGCUUAAUUCUUCUAAUACAUGACCCUAAUUCAUACCCAAGAAGAAAGGGAUACAUUUAGGUACAUGCUCUUUGUAACCCAGUCAUGAAAAAGUGCUUUCCAUUGUAGCUACUUGUCUACAGCCCUCAUUUGAUGUGAUUUAAACUCUGUUUUUCGGUGACUUCUUGCACUACUUACCAUGCACAACUGAAAAGUUAGCCACUGUUCUUGGAGUUAUUGUUCUGAGUAUUGUGAAAUAUUUUUAGAAUGACACACCUGCUUGUCAAAUAAAAUGCUUAGCUGUAAAUAGAGUGCAAAGUUUAAUAAAGGCAAAAUCUCACAUG
This 544-nucleotide long non-coding RNA is filed under the name Rattus norvegicus (Norway rat). RNAcentral describes it as "long non-coding RNA NONRATT003648". Lineage: Eukaryota; Metazoa; Chordata; Mammalia; Rodentia; Muridae. The record is from RNAcentral.